This 623-nucleotide long non-coding RNA is filed under the name Hordeum vulgare. Its description in RNAcentral is "long non-coding RNA (HVUL_LNC004286)". The record is from RNAcentral. Lineage: Eukaryota; Viridiplantae; Streptophyta; Magnoliopsida; Poales; Poaceae.
GGAUACAUGGCCCGUGGGCUGGUGCAGGCAGGCGCCGGAUGUCUUCUUCUUUUCCUCGCUGCCGCUUGGGAGCCUGCACCAGGAAAGAGGCAGUCUAAGUAGACCGGCCGCGAAGGAAUAGCGCAAGGGCAGGCCGAGGUACUUACUUGUCGCCGGCGCCCACUUCCUCUUCUUCUUGGUGGCGGGAGGAGCAUCUCCGCCACCUUCGCGCGCCGCCUCGCUAGCGCCAGGGGGGCGCUUGUCGAGGUCUUCGUCGGGCUCUCCCCGGCCUCCCUCCUCACCUGGAGCCUGAGAGGGCCCCUGGGGGAACGCGGCCUUCGUCGAGGGAGGUGCGACACCAUCGCUGGGGGCUCCCGUCCUUGACACCUCGACCGUCGCGGAGCCCGGCCCCGCUCUGUCUCCGGAGGUCGCGGGCUCAGGAGGUACCGUCUGGUGCCGCUCGUCAGCAACUGCGUCGUCCCCAAGGCCGCGCAAGGACGGAUGAAGGUCGGGCGACGGAAUCCGGCCGGUGUCUUCCUCUUCACCCUCUGCCGCCUUCGAAUCCUGGUCGCUGCUGCCCCCGCUUGAGGACGAAACCGUGAUGGGGGAGCCCUCGGGUGGCCCGGCGAGCCCCCAUUCAUCGA